Molecule: transfer RNA, 84 nt
Filed under: Candidatus Nitrosopumilus sp.
Lineage: Archaea; Thermoproteati; Nitrososphaerota; Nitrososphaeria; Nitrosopumilales; Nitrosopumilaceae
Also listed under: 2 other names
Description: Nitrosopumilus sp. tRNA-Ser
Rfam family: tRNA
About the family: Transfer RNA (tRNA) molecules are approximately 80 nucleotides in length. Their secondary structure includes four short double-helical elements and three loops (D, anti-codon, and T loops).
Source: RNAcentral
GCAGAGAUCGCCUAGCCUGGCAGGGCGUAGGAUUGCUAAUCCUAUGAUCGUAAGGUCACGGGGGUUCAAAUCCCCCUCUCUGCG